GGGUUGUGAGGUUAAGCGACUAAGCGUACACGGUGGAUGCCCUGGCAGUCAGAGGCGAUGAAGGACGUGCUAAUCUGCGAUAAGCGUCGGUAAGGUGAUAUGAACCGUUAUAACCGGCGAUUUCCGAAUGGGGAAACCCAGUGUGUUUCGACACACUAUCAUUAACUGAAUCCAUAGGUUAAUGAGGCGAACCGGGGGAACUGAAACAUCUAAGUACCCCGAGGAAAAGAAAUCAACCGAGAUUCCCCCAGUAGCGGCGAGCGAACGGGGAGCAGCCCAGAGCCUGAAUCAGUGUGUGUGUUAGUGGAAGCGUCUGGAAAGGCGCGCGAUACAGGGUGACAGCCCCGUACACAAAAAUGCACAUACUGUGAGCUCGAUGAGUAGGGCGGGACACGUGGUAUCCUGUCUGAAUAUGGGGGGACCAUCCUCCAAGGCUAAAUACUCCUGACUGACCGAUAGUGAACCAGUACCGUGAGGGAAAGGCGAAAAGAACCCCGGCGAGGGGAGUGAAAAAGAACCUGAAACCGUGUACGUACAAGCAGUGGGAGCCUCUUAAUGGGGUGACUGCGUACCUUUUGUAUAAUGGGUCAGCGACUUAUAUUCUGUAGCAAGGUUAACCGAAUAGGGGAGCCGAAGGGAAACCGAGUCUUAACUGGGCGUUAAGUUGCAGGGUAUAGACCCGAAACCCGGUGAUCUAGCCAUGGGCAGGUUGAAGGUUGGGUAACACUAACUGGAGGACCGAACCGACUAAUGUUGAAAAAUUAGCGGAUGACUUGUGGCUGGGGGUGAAAGGCCAAUCAAACCGGGAGAUAGCUGGUUCUCCCCGAAAGCUAUUUAGGUAGCGCCUCGUGAAUUCAUCUCCGGGGGUAGAGCACUGUUUCGGCAAGGGGGUCAUCCCGACUUACCAACCCGAUGCAAACUGCGAAUACCGGAGAAUGUUAUCACGGGAGACACACGGCGGGUGCUAACGUCCGUCGUGAAGAGGGAAACAACCCAGACCGCCAGCUAAGGUCCCAAAGUCAUGGUUAAGUGGGAAACGAUGUGGGAAGGCCCAGACAGCCAGGAUGUUGGCUUAGAAGCAGCCAUCAUUUAAAGAAAGCGUAAUAGCUCACUGGUCGAGUCGGCCUGCGCGGAAGAUGUAACGGGGCUAAACCAUGCACCGAAGCUGCGGCAGCGACACUAUGUGUUGUUGGGUAGGGGAGCGUUCUGUAAGCCUGCGAAGGUGUACUGUGAGGUAUGCUGGAGGUAUCAGAAGUGCGAAUGCUGACAUAAGUAACGAUAAAGCGGGUGAAAAGCCCGCUCGCCGGAAGACCAAGGGUUCCUGUCCAACGUUAAUCGGGGCAGGGUGAGUCGACCCCUAAGGCGAGGCCGAAAGGCGUAGUCGAUGGGAAACAGGUUAAUAUUCCUGUACUUGGUGUUACUGCGAAGGGGGGACGGAGAAGGCUAUGUUGGCCGGGCGACGGUUGUCCCGGUUUAAGCGUGUAGGCUGGUUUUCCAGGCAAAUCCGGAAAAUCAAGGCUGAGGCGUGAUGACGAGGCACUACGGUGCUGAAGCAACAAAUGCCCUGCUUCCAGGAAAAGCCUCUAAGCAUCAGGUAACAUCAAAUCGUACCCCAAACCGACACAGGUGGUCAGGUAGAGAAUACCAAGGCGCUUGAGAGAACUCGGGUGAAGGAACUAGGCAAAAUGGUGCCGUAACUUCGGGAGAAGGCACGCUGAUAUGUAGGUGAAGUCCCUUGCGGAUGGAGCUGAAAUCAGUCGAAGAUACCAGCUGGCUGCAACUGUUUAUUAAAAACACAGCACUGUGCAAACACGAAAGUGGACGUAUACGGUGUGACGCCUGCCCGGUGCCGGAAGGUUAAUUGAUGGGGUUAGCGGUAACGCGAAGCUCUUGAUCGAAGCCCCGGUAAACGGCGGCCGUAACUAUAACGGUCCUAAGGUAGCGAAAUUCCUUGUCGGGUAAGUUCCGACCUGCACGAAUGGCGUAAUGAUGGCCAGGCUGUCUCCACCCGAGACUCAGUGAAAUUGAACUCGCUGUGAAGAUGCAGUGUACCCGCGGCAAGACGGAAAGACCCCGUGAACCUUUACUAUAGCUUGACACUGAACAUUGAGCCUUGAUGUGUAGGAUAGGUGGGAGGCUUUGAAGUGUGGACGCCAGUCUGCAUGGAGCCGGCCUUGAAAUACCACCCUUUAAUGUUUGAUGUUCUAACGUUGGCCCCUGAUCGGGGUUGCGGACAGUGUCUGGUGGGUAGUUUGACUGGGGCGGUCUCCUCCUAAAGAGUAACGGAGGAGCACGAAGGUUGGCUAAUCCUGGUCGGACAUCAGGAGGUUAGUGCAAUGGCAUAAGCCAGCUUGACUGCGAGCGUGACGGCGCGAGCAGGUGCGAAAGCAGGUCAUAGUGAUCCGGUGGUUCUGAAUGGAAGGGCCAUCGCUCAACGGAUAAAAGGUACUCCGGGGAUAACAGGCUGAUACCGCCCAAGAGUUCAUAUCGACGGCGGUGUUUGGCACCUCGAUGUCGGCUCAUCACAUCCUGGGGCUGAAGUAGGUCCCAAGGGUAUGGCUGUUCGCCAUUUAAAGUGGUACGCGAGCUGGGUUUAGAACGUCGUGAGACAGUUCGGUCCCUAUCUGCCGUGGGCGCUGGAGAACUGAGGGGGGCUGCUCCUAGUACGAGAGGACCGGAGUGGACGCAUCACUGGUGUUCGGGUUGUCAUGCCAAUGGCACUGCCCGGUAGCUAAAUGCGGAAGAGAUAAGUGCUGAAAGCAUCUAAGCACGAAACUUGCCCCGAGAUGAGUUCUCCCUGACUCCUUGAGAGUCCUGAAGGAACGUUGAAGACGACGACGUUGAUAGGCCGGGUGUGUAAGCGCAGCGAUGCGUUGAGCUAACCGGUACUAAUGAACCGUGAGGCUUAACCUUACAACGCCGAAGGUGUUU
This 2931-nucleotide ribosomal RNA is filed under the name Escherichia coli. RNAcentral's name for it is "23S ribosomal RNA". It matches the Rfam family "Bacterial large subunit ribosomal RNA". The record is from RNAcentral. Lineage: Bacteria; Pseudomonadati; Pseudomonadota; Gammaproteobacteria; Enterobacterales; Enterobacteriaceae.